AUAGCUUACGUGAAGAAUCUCAAAAUAAUGCUGAUUUCGAAAGAUUUUUUGGUUCUUAGCCAAGGAAACCGCAGAAAGCUUGAUAUAAUGAUAUGUUAAAGGUAAUAAGUGGUCACAUAUGCAACCUAAUGAAAGAUACUGUAGAUUGGUAUUGCCUAGUGUUAGAGUAGAUAAAACUAUUGUUGUUUCAGCGACCAUGCUGUUAUUAACAACACAUAUUGAAAUAGAGCUACAUGACUUGAAGUAACAAAGAGGAGACACUAGGAUCUUCUAGUUGAGGAAUAAAUAAUAGACUAAAGACUUGCAUACUCAGAAAACUCUCGUACUACAAUAAGCUAACUUUCAAAGAGCAUUCAAUUUGGUCUUAGCUUCUAAAGUUAUCCUACUUCUAAUGGUUAAAAUAAUAGAGCCGGUCAGUGACUAAAGACUUGCAUACUCAGAAAACUCUCGUACUACAAUAAGCUAACUUUCAAAGAGCAUUCAAUUUGGUCUUAGCUUCUAAAGUUAUCCUACUUCUAAUGGUUAAAAUAAUAGAGCCGGUCAGUGACUAAAGACUUGCAUACUCAGAAAACUCUCGUACUACAAUAAGCUAACUUUCAAAGAGCAUUCAAUUCGGUCUUUGCUUCUAAAGUUAUCCUACUUCUAAUGGUUAAAAUAAUAGGGCCGGUCAGUGAUUAGCAUUAGUCACUUGCACCAAACUGAAAGAGGAUAAAUGGAAAUUAACUUGCUCCAUGUGUACCUUAUCUUACUUUUGUUAUAGUCCAGAAGCAAAUGGGGGAUAAGUCAUCCUAAAAAUUUACUAUGGCUUUGCCAGUUUGUAGCAGAAGCUAUCUUCCACCAUUUUCUUUUCCUUCUACCUCUCAAAUGACAGUACAGGAGACGGAUUUCCGGCCUUUGUUAAAGAAAUAUAAAAUGCGACAUAACUCAUGAAUUCCGGAUUCAAUUAGUUAGACUUCUUUCCAUUGAACUUCUCCGGGCUAAUUGUGUUACUUCCUCUCUUCCCCUAUAUAGACCUUUAGACAUACUAGAUACUGUUGGGCCACGGUGGGCCUACAGUUUAGGGUUACUAGAUGAAUCCGAGUAAGUUUCUGUCAUUGAUUACCUUGCAGGAGUUAAGCGAAGUCAACAAGAGGUGUUAUUUCUUUACUUUCAUGGUACAUAACGAGUCUAGUUGGCAUGCAAAUACGUGGAUUCAUGGGAGUAUAAAGCUGAUUCUUGAUACCAUUUGUGAAGUAGUUGAUGACGAACAAAGAGAGCAGCUU
Molecule: long non-coding RNA, 1262 nt
Filed under: Nicotiana benthamiana
Lineage: Eukaryota; Viridiplantae; Streptophyta; Magnoliopsida; Solanales; Solanaceae
Description: long non-coding RNA (NBEN_LNC013030)
Source: RNAcentral